Molecule: small RNA, 534 nt
Filed under: Pan troglodytes (chimpanzee)
Lineage: Eukaryota; Metazoa; Chordata; Mammalia; Primates; Hominidae
Description: processed transcript
Source: RNAcentral
UUCCUGGCCCUGCCACUGAUGAAUUUUCUUCUGCUCUAUCCUCUUCAGACGCAAUUAGACAAUUAGCACUCCUGCCCGCAGCCCCCACAACUUUCAUCAGAUGAAAUAACAUCCUAACUGGAGUGGAACUAUUUUCAUGAUUCCAAAUAAAAAAUGCAAUCUUCCAAAUACACCCUUAGUGAAUCCGUCCUUGAGAAAGGGGGACUGAAAUUCCUGCCUACACCUAAUACAAUAGGGCCCAGAGGCUGCCUGACCCAGCGCGGGCAGUCGGCAACAAACAACUCCUUCCCAUAGUGAAACACCAACCCCACCACUAAGGUGCAGAGGGCAUUUGCGGAACUUGCUGCUUCUGCCAAUGUUUAAAAAGUCCCCCUUCCUGAAAUGUCCACCGCGUUGCUCUCAAGGUAAUCUCGCUCCGCGCAGCUGAGCGCCCCGCAUCUCGCGCCUGCUACAUCAAAGGGCCCGCGCACAAAGCAGUGUUUCUUCGCCACGGUGCAUCUUCAUGGUAAGUUAGGAUUUCUAUGGCAAUGUGCA